This 484-nucleotide ribosomal RNA is filed under the name uncultured rumen bacterium. Its description in RNAcentral is "bacterial SSU rRNA". It matches the Rfam family "Bacterial small subunit ribosomal RNA", at positions 51 to 530 of the family's 1533-position model. The record is from RNAcentral.
ACACAUGCAAGUCGAGGGGCAGCGGGUGUAGCAAUACAUGCCGGCGACCGGCGAAAGGGUGAGUAACGCGUGAGCAACGUGCCCGUAUGUGGGGGAUAGUCGAUGGAAACGUCGCGUAAUACCCCGUAACACACGGUCUCGCAUGGGACAGUGUUGAAAGAUUUAUUGCAUACGGAUCGGCUCGCGUGCCAUUAGGUAGACGGCGGGGUAACGGCCCACCGUGCCGACGAUGGCUAGGGGUUCUGAGAGGAAGGUCCCCCACAUUGGAACUGAGACACGGUCCAGACUCCUACGGGAGGCAGCAGUGAGGAAUAUUGGACAAUGGCCGGAAGGCUGGUCCAGCCAUGCCGCGUGCGGGACGACGGCCCUAUGGGUUGUAAACCCGCUUUUGCGAGGGAGCAAUAAGCGCAACGAGUUGCGCGAUGAGAGUACCUCGCGAAUAAGCAUCGGCUAACUCCGUGCCAGCAGCCGCGGUAAUACGGAG